AGCCUCAUUCUGGAUUAGAAUGGGCACAGUUGAUUGGUGUCCAGAAUUGGUCAAUGUGGCUAAACUGAGACACAGGUCAUGCUUCCAUUACAGUAAAUAUUUACAGUGGUGACAAUGAGGCCUGUAACAUUU
This 132-nucleotide small nucleolar RNA is filed under the name Octodon degus (degu). Its description in RNAcentral is "Small nucleolar RNA SNORA1 (ENSODEG00000022216.1)". It matches the Rfam family "Small nucleolar RNA SNORA1". From Rfam's summary of the family: ACA1 is a member of the H/ACA class of snoRNA that guide the sites of modification of uridines to pseudouridines. The record is from Rfam by way of RNAcentral. Lineage: Eukaryota; Metazoa; Chordata; Mammalia; Rodentia; Octodontidae.